This 86-nucleotide transfer RNA is filed under the name Daphnia pulex (common water flea). It matches the Rfam family "tRNA". Rfam says of the family: Transfer RNA (tRNA) molecules are approximately 80 nucleotides in length. Their secondary structure includes four short double-helical elements and three loops (D, anti-codon, and T loops). Further hydrogen bonds mediate the characteristic L-shaped molecular structure. tRNAs have two regions of fundamental functional importance: the anti-codon, which is responsible for specific mRNA codon recognition, and the 3' end, to which the tRNAs corresponding amino acid is attached (by aminoacyl-tRNA synthetases). tRNAs cope with the degeneracy of the genetic code in two manners: having more than one tRNA (with a specific anti-codon) for a particular amino acid; and 'wobble' base-pairing, i.e. permitting non-standard base-pairing at the 3rd anti-codon position. The record is from Rfam by way of RNAcentral. Lineage: Eukaryota; Metazoa; Arthropoda; Branchiopoda; Diplostraca; Daphniidae.
GACCGUGGUGCCUAAUGGAUAAGGUGUUGGACUUCUAUCAGGAUGGUGACAUCCGAAAAGGGCGGGUUCGAGUCCCGCCUCGGUUA